Molecule: ribosomal RNA, 422 nt
Filed under: uncultured bacterium
Lineage: Bacteria
Description: bacterial SSU rRNA
Rfam family: Bacterial small subunit ribosomal RNA
Source: RNAcentral
UGAGGAAUAUUGGGCAAUGCCCGCAAGGGUGACCCAGCAACGCCGCGUGGAGGAUGAAUGUCGUAAGAUUGUAAACUCCUGUUAGAGGGGAAGAAUAGUACCGGUUGGACCGGUAUAUGACUGUACCCUCAGAGAAAGCCCCGGCUAACUACGUGCCAGCAGCCGCGGUAAUACGUAGGGGGCAAGCGUUGUCCGGAUUUACUGGGUGUAAAGGGAGCGCAGGCGGGAUAAAAAGUCAGUGGUGAAAUCCUACAGCUUAACUGUAGAACUGCCUUUGAUACUUUUAUUCUUGAGUUCGGGAGAGAGAGACGGAAUUCCAGGUGUAGUGGUGAAAUACGUAGAUAUCUGGAAGAACACCAGUUGCGAAGGCGGUCUCUUGGUCCGACACUGACGCUGAGGCGCGAAAGCGUGGGGAGCAAACA